Molecule: long non-coding RNA, 817 nt
Organism: Dreissena polymorpha
Lineage: Eukaryota; Metazoa; Mollusca; Bivalvia; Myida; Dreissenidae
Exons: 4
Source: RefSeq, a predicted model, not a curated record
UCACAGGGGUAUAUAGUCCUCUAGAGAAUUCACAAUAUCACAGGGGUAUAUAUUCCUCUAGAGAAUUCACAAUAUCACAGGGGUAUAUAUUCCUCUAGAGAAUUCACAAUAUCACAGGGGUAUAUAUUCCUCUAGAGAAUUCACAAUAUCACAGGGUAUAUAUUCCUCUAGAGAAUUCACAAUAUAACAGGGGUAUAUAUUCCUCUAGAGAAUUCACAAUAUCACAGGGGUAUAUAUUCCUCUAGAGAAUUCACAAUAUCACAGGGGUAUAUAUUCCUCUAGAGAAUUCACAAUAUCACAGGGUAUAUAUUCCUCCAGAGAAUUCACAAUAUCACAGGGUAUAUAUUCCUCUAGAGAAUUCACAAUAUCACAGGGUAUAUAUUCCUCUAGAGAAUUCACAAUAUCACAGGGGUAUAUAUUCCUCUAGAGAAUUCACAAUAUCACAGGGUAUAUAUUCCUCUAGAGAAUUCACAAUAUCACAGGGUAUAUAUUCCUCUAGAGAAUUCACAAUAUCACAGGGGUAUAUAUUCCUCUAGAGAAUUCACAAUAUCACAGGGGUAUAUAUUCCUCUAGAGAAUUCACAAUAUCACAGGGGUAUAUAUUCCUCUAGAGAAUUCACAAAGGCAUUUAUUUGAUCAUGGAAUUACAGUUUGUUUGUUAAAGAAAUUAAAUAGUGUUAAAUAUUAAAAUAUAUAGACAUAUUUAUCAUUACUAUAAAUUUGAUGUUAAAAAAUGUGUAUUUGUGAGUUAAUAUAAAUUAAAAUUUGUGUUAUCGUCCCUCAUGAAAUUAGAUAAAUAUUUGAAUAAAAAAAGGUUU